CAAUAGCGUAUAUUUAAGUUGUUGCAGUUAAAAAGCUCGUAGUUGGAUUUGUGGUGUACUUCGGCGGCCCGUCACUAUGUGAUGGAGCUUGCUGAAGUCGCCAUCCUUGGGUGGAUCCUGUGUGGCAUUAAGUUGUCGUGCAGGGGAUGCCCAUCGUUUACUGUGAAAAAAUUAGAGUGUUCAAAGCAGGCUUAUGCCGUUGAAUAUAUUAGCAUGGAAUAAUAAGAUAGGACCUUGGUACUAUUUUGUUGGUUUGCGCACCAAGGUAAUGAUUAAUAGGGACAGUUGGGGGUAUUCGUAUUUCAUUGUCAGAGGUGAAAUUCUUGGAUUUUUGAAAGACGAACUACUGCGAAAGCAUUUACCAAGGAUGUUUUCAUUA
RNAcentral lists this ribosomal RNA (379 nucleotides) under uncultured eukaryote. RNAcentral's name for it is "partial 18S ribosomal RNA". It matches the Rfam family "Eukaryotic small subunit ribosomal RNA", at positions 592 to 975 of the family's 1831-position model. The record is from RNAcentral.